RNAcentral lists this ribosomal RNA (465 nucleotides) under uncultured bacterium. RNAcentral describes it as "partial 16S ribosomal RNA". It matches the Rfam family "Bacterial small subunit ribosomal RNA", at positions 28 to 507 of the family's 1533-position model. The record is from RNAcentral.
GACGAACGCUGGCGGCGUGCUUAACACAUGCAGGUCGAACGGAAAGGCCCCUUUGGGGGUCCUCGAGUGGCGAACGGGUGAGUAACACGUGAGUAACCUGCCCUUGACUUCGGGAUAACUUCAGGAAACUGGGGCUAAUACCGGAUAGGAAUCCUUGCUGCAUGGUGGGGGUUGGAAAGCUUCGGCGGUUUUGGAUGGACUCGCGGCUUAUCAGCUUGUUGGUGGGGUAGUGGCUUACCAAGGCUUUGACGGGUAGCCGGCCUGAGAGGGCGACCGGCCACAUUGGGACUGAGAUACGGCCCAGACUCCUACGGGAGGCAGCAGUGGGGAAUAUUGCACAAGGGGCGGCAGCCUGAUGCAGCAACGCCGCGUGCGGGAUGACGGCCUUCGGGUUGUAAAACGCUUUCAGCAGGGGCGAAGCUUGUGGUGACGGUACCUGCAGAAGAAGCACCGGCUAACUACGUG